AAAAAAGAGCUUUGUCAUCUUUUCUCAUUUGGAAAGACAACCAUGUUGUAUGUUCCAAGAACAGCUUUAGCCUUCUGCUCAAAUUCAAGCUGAUAAUCACCUUAGGCAGAAAUCUGUAGCAUGCUAAAGUGACAGGCAGAGCCCACAAUAUCCAAUCACCAUUAUAGAAAUAAUUUAAACUGACAGGCAACCUAAAAGGCUUUUUGUGGUACUGAUGCAUACUACAAAUUGACUGUCUAUUUACCAUUAUAGAAAUAAUUUAAACUGACAUGCAACCUAAAAGGCUUUUUGUGGUACUGAUGCAUACUACAAAUUGGCUGUCUAUUUAAUAGAAGCAAGUGCCAGCUACUCAUUGUUCUGUAAAUAGCAGAUUGAGCAACAUUUUUUUUCUACUUUUGAAGGAAGACAGUUCUCAGUAUAGUAACCAUGUCAUCUAGAUUAUCAAGUUGGAGCCUGUCAGCUUACGUUAUUUUGCAUGUGGGUCGUUGGUAAAGGAGGAGUCCAGGAGUGCAGGAACCGGCAAUGUCAGAAGUGAUUUGUAUAACGAAAAAGAUCAAAUUAAUAAGUUUAAUAAUAGAAUGAGAGGAACAAACAAAUUACAUGCGUAAAGAUAUGUAUUGGUUGGUGUUACUAAGCCACAUGCAAGAAGAAAACACUGAUCACAG
This 665-nucleotide long non-coding RNA is filed under the name Triticum aestivum (bread wheat). RNAcentral describes it as "long non-coding RNA (TAES_LNC009694)". Lineage: Eukaryota; Viridiplantae; Streptophyta; Magnoliopsida; Poales; Poaceae. The record is from RNAcentral.